Non-coding RNA from Taeniopygia guttata (zebra finch), 12863 nucleotides. The record is from RefSeq and is a predicted model, not a curated record. NCBI's taxonomy places the organism in Eukaryota, Metazoa, Chordata, Aves, Passeriformes, Estrildidae.
GUGUGUGAGAACUCUAGUAAAAAUAUGUAAACAUCAGAAGGUAUAGAAAUUUUUUGAAAGAACUUUAAAACUUUUAAAAGAACAGGGCAACAGUUCUGGCUUGAGUUUGCAAGGUAGCUAGAGAAACUGAACUUUCAACUCUUAUUUCCACUAGAACUGAUCUGGCUCCAGAGUCUAAUUUCCAUCUUCAAUUUCAUUGUUUUACUUUACUGGGCAAAACGAAGUAUUUGGUACUUGUUUUACACUACUAAAACUGCUGCACCAACAAAGCCAUAAAGCAACAAAGAAAAACCAGCAUAGGGUUGAACAGAGUUGAAAGUUGCAGUAACAGGACUAAGUUUCAGCUUCUUCUCUGUGUGUACAGGAAUUACACAAAUGUAACAUAACAAGACAAAAUGUUCCAAAUCCAUUGUUGUUGCUCAGAAACUUGGAGCAAUUUGGUGCCUCUUCAUCAUCUGCUUCUUCCAGAAGAGGCACUGGCCUCUGUGCCUGCCAGAGAUUAUUUAUUGAAACACACCAUAUGACAGCUCCAUCAACACACCAGCCACUGUAGCUUUACAGCCAUCUCCAGUCCCUAAAUUUGGACUUGUUUCUUUCAAAGAGGGACUUGCUAAGUACCUGUCAGCUUGACUAGAUUCAUCUUUAACAGCAUUGACCUUAAAAGUUAGGAAAUACUUAGCCAAAUACAAGGUCAGAUUUCAAAUAUAAAGUUAGAAUCCAAGCUAUAAAAAGGUAGAUUAAACUAAAGGAUUAUUUCUUAGCUGCUGUGAUAUUUUGCAGCCAGAACCCCUAACAGCCUAGGCAGCAGUAACACAUGUAUUCCAUGCUAUUUCAGGAUGAAAUUAAAAUCUAACCAGCUGUGGUCUAAUGGUAACCCUAUCCAAACUCUUUUUUUUAUUGAAGUAUCCUCAAUACUGUUAAAAUAUCCUGCGAGACAUGUAUCAUCAGGUCUAUUCAUUGUAUGUUCACUUGGUUAGGCUUGGAGACUUGUACUCUUUCUAGGCUGCAUUUUUCCUAAAGCCAUAUUAUCAGCUACAUUAUAGGUAGGAUGCUCUAUCCAAACAAUCUCUCUCACAGCCCAAAUUUACCAGUUUCAAGGGUUCUUACAGACAUGUAUUUUUCAGAUAGUGCAGAAGUUGUUUUUUCAUCUUAUUUGAUGUUCUAAUAUUUAAUUGUUUCUAAUACUCAAAUCUUAGAAUCUUAUUUAGAGGGAAAAUCUGAUAUAAAACCAAAAGUAUUGAUGAAGUUGCUGAUUUAAAUAAAGGCCUGAUUUAUUUAUUCCCCUAUACUGUUGGGAAAUAUGGGAGGGACUUAGAGGAAGAGGACAGAAAAGUAAGAAAAUUACUCAUUCCCCUUACAGAAGGUAUAUUUUCCCUAAUGUGCUGUAGUGAAAGCUGGUAUAUAGGAAGCAGAUAAAGCUGCAAAGGCUUCAGGGUGUAAUUGCUGAAGCUACAGUGCUUACAACUGUGUCUCAGUGUCUACAGCAGUGCCUCAGUGCAUACUGGGCAUGAAGCUGAUGGGGCUAGUAAAAGCAGAAAAGCAAACAGACAAACGGCCAGCGUUGUAGUUGUGUGUGCUCUUGAUUAAUAUUGGUUUUAAUGUUAAUAUUCCAUUGGUUCAGCUGUGCUUGCACUGGUUUUAGGCAGAUAAUCAAUUGUAAAUUCAUAGGUUUUCAUGUUCUAGCUUUAAGCACGGUAAAAAGUUCAUUUGUAGUUGUACUCUGUUGUUAAGUGCCAUGACAUGAAAAAGGUGGAGUUUAUAUUUGUGCCUUUCAGUUCUUCCAUUUAGUGUGCUGCUACAUAACAGGAAGAUAUAUUUUCUGAUUACCUGCUCUCUUAACAUUGUAAUCUCUUAAGUACUUAAUUCCUGAAAUAUUUAAACUAUGCAGACCACCCAGAAGGGCUCAGCAGAGAAGUUUCAAACCAGUAAAUUUCUACUGCUCAUGUUACUAUGUCAAGCCAUUGGUAAGAAAUGAAUCAACUACUUGAAAAAGCUAUCCUGUUUGAUUUUUCACUAAGAGAAUAGUCCAGAGACACAGAAAUCAUAUUUAAACCAGCUUUAAUAAAACUGUCUUUACUCCUUUUUAAAGACUUGUAAUCCUAGCUAGUCUUACUGAAUUUGGGUAACUGCCAUCUCAUUGAGCCACUGCUCAAUUUCUUGUAGUAGUCAAGGCAAAUCAAUAGACAAAAAAAUAGAUGGUUACAGAAACAGAUGUUCAGUCCAUACUGAAUAUCUCAAAAUACUCAGUUUUUUCAGUUUAUGUGAUGGCAACUGAAGAAAUUUUUACAAUCUCUGUAUUACACAUGUAUUCCAUGUGUAAUACACACAGUUAUAUAUUUAUGUAAUUAUGGAAAACUAUAAACGACACCUAAAAAAUAAGUAAUUCUAGACUACUAUUUUUGUAGCAGUUCCUUAAGUUUUAUUAUUUUGGAAUCCUUUAUUUUCAAGUUUGUUUAAGACUCCAUAGGCGCUUUGAAUUAUUUUGAUUGCCCUACCUGCAAAUCUAACCAAAUUGCACUCUAGCAGUGAAGCCUGAGCUCUGAGACUAUGGUGGGAAGUUUCUGUUGUUCCAGGAACCAUACAUCCCAUACACUUUCUUAAUGGGCCUCUAGCCAUCCCCAGAAAGAUAUAUUUUAAUGCGUUCUGGAGUGAAAUGGGAAGAUUUUAAGUCAGGCCUUUUUGCAGAUGCUGGAUCAUUCCUUCUGCUGCCUCAGGGACCCCAUUGGAAUCAAUGGAAUGGUUACUUGUAUGCUGAGAACAGAAAUGUCACAUGCGUCUCCCCCUUAAAAGGAUGUUCUGUUCCAUACAAAAAAAAAAAUCCAUGCAAGGUUUUACUGUACUGAUAAGCAGUCUGGAAUACACUUAAAUCUGAUGUAAUCUGAAACCACACAGGAAGACAGACAACUCUCUACAUGCUUUCAGGACCAAGUGGGAAGGAGAUAUGACCUAUAAGUCUUCUUCUAGAGCCCUGGGCUGUUAGUGAGUCAUGAGGACUGCAUGCAGGAAUGGAAGUUCUUACUCUUUUCACAAUCCUGUAAGCCAGUUAAUACAGCAUGGAAAUAAUGGAAUUUACUUCAUUUCACAGAGGCACCAGUGGCAACUAGAAUGUUAGAAAAGGUGGUAACAUGGAGAGGCCGAGCACAGUGAUCCUUCAUUGGUAGUUACCCUAAAUCCACAGUAUUAUGAGAAUUCUUUUGAUGAGACAAUCUUAAGGCUACAUAAGAAAAAAAAAAUAUUCUAAAUCAGGUCAAGCGAUUUGAACUACUCACCCUCUUCUGAGUAACCAAAAUGACACUGAUUAAAGACACCAGUGUAAAGAUGGAAUAGUGUAGAAGUUGAAUAUUUUUUGAAGCUUUUGCUGUCUCCACCAGUGAAAAUACUCAUCAUAAGUAUCUCUUGUUUCAGUGCUGGAUUAGUUUUAUAGUUCCUAAAAUUCUUGAGCACAAAUUCAGGGCUGUUGCCUGUUAAUUCUGAGCUCAUUAGAGAAACUGAAGGAAAAGAGAAAUGUUGGCAGUGACCAGUGCUCCUGUCAGCAGUGCCAGUUCUGUAGCUCUUGCCAAGCACACAAUCCUUUACCCAGACUGGUCCAAAGCUGGUCUUUCCAGUAGUAUCUUUCCAUCUGGAUUGCUCCCAAAAGGAAGAUGACAGAAGGGUACUUGUUAUGCUUUACCUUGCCUUUUCUGGUUUCCAGAGUGUUACUGGCUGGAUAAGCUUAAAGGAACUGAAAUGGUGCCAGAUACACAUCAUUAUGUGUUUUAACACACUGAAUACAAGGGAGAGCAAGUUUAAAGUGUUAAUCUAGCUUCUGCAAGGGGAAAAACUCACCUGCUUCCAAGGGACUGGGCAUUCUUUCAUGCACAGUGGAAGUGUACAAUAUUAUAUAACUAUUACUUAAAGACAAAGUUUUGGGGUUUACCAUAAUAUCUUCUGAAAAAUUAUCCUCCUCAAAAUUAAAGUAUUUUUGCAUCUUAAAAUUGGUACCUGGUACAUAUGUAUUUAAAUGACAACAUAAACUUCUGUUUGUCUUCUUUGCAAGGGGAUUCUGAGCCGAUGAUAGAUAUUAAUGAUUGACCUUAUGGCUAAGAUUUUUAAAUCUGCCAUUUGGAUGCCGUGUUCAAUCCUUUAAAGAGGAUAAAGCAAAAAUAUUGGAUUAAAAUAAAGAUAUGACAGUAUAAACUUUAGGGCAUCUUCUCUUAUCUCCUAUAAUUUUGAUGCUCAAUUACAGUAUGAAGACCCUGGCAGAUUAAGCAGUACUUAAUAGCAAUCUUCUUUGAAAAAUACUCAUGUAGCACAUAUUCAGAUGAAUGUACUUCAGCAUCAGUCACCAUUCAAUCAAUAACCUUUUAUUCAGUAUAACCUACUCAGAAUGCAAAAACUGAAAAAAAAAGUUAUGAAAUUAGUUACGAAAGAAGGUGUUAGAAGGUGAUGCACCGGGGACCUAGUGCAACACAUGCUUGUAAGAGCAGAAAUAGGAACAGAAAGUCCUGAAUUAAUUAUGUAUAGAGGGUAUUUAUGUGUUGCUACUGACUGUAAAAGAUGAUCCUCACUCUAAAGAACUUGUCUUCAGAAUCUCCAAGAGAGCAAAUAAAGAGAGCUAAAAAAGUCAAUGCAUCAGAAUUCAGUAUUUUCCAUUUUCAUUAUAGACUUGUAUAGCAUGCCUCAAGUCUACCUACCAUUUGGAAAUACGUAUGAGAAAAUAUAAAUUAUUCUCCUGUAAGAGCAGAUUUCUGUGGAGAACAAAAAUAAAGAUCAAUUCAGCAGUAAGGGCUGCUGAGGCAUUUUCAGACAGCUAAUAACUCCCUCCAGAGCUGCCUAGGUCCAAUUUGGAAUUUGAGCUGACAAUUGUAUCUCUCCCUUGAUUGGUUGCCAGGAAGAAAACAUCUAUGCUUCACUGCAAAUGUAAGUAAUAAAGGACAGUAAGGUCUUCAAGCCUUAAAGGUAAUAGAACUUUAGGUUUUGUUUUUUUUUAAAUGCCUACCUGCUUUUCUAGGGGGAAAAAACCCAACAAAUUAAAAUUAUUAUUUUUAAAAAAGAAUCUGUCCUGAUGUAUGUUAGAAGUUAAAAGUGUACAUUCAUACAUACUGAAAGUAUGAUGAGCUUACUGCAAGCUAAAUGAGACAAUUGUCAGUAGUGAGUUUAUUUUCUUACGUAAAAGUGAAAAUUUCAUUUACAGCAGCUAUAAAAGUAUAGAUAAACUCUUUCACGCUUCACCUUCUGACCUGCAUUUCUGACUAGCUUACAGAGGCUGCCAUUUCUUUGCUCUAUUCAUGCUUUGAGCCAGCUGGACAUAAAUAAGAUCAGCUUCUUUCCAGAAAUCAUGUGGCCACAUUAGCACAGUUCUGAGCCCAAGCUAAUGUAUUCUGUUUCACAGCCAGCCUUAUUAACUCAGGUUCAGCAGUACACAAAUCACAGCUACACAGCUGCUACACUGCCUGGCUCAGGGCACAGGCAGAGUGAACCUGUCACUGUCUGCACCCAUCCAUGUGGAUGUACCCUCAGAUGACCCUAGGCUGUAAAAAAAGCUAGUUUUAGGAAUUGGUUCUCCAAUUAAUUACAUUUUAAUUGCAUAAUACAAUGUAUACUGGAAAUGGAGUAAUGAAAUCUUACAGGAUAUGGUAAAGUGAGUUUUUUCCAACAUCACCGCAACAGUGUGCUGCCCAAACUGGUCUAUGAACUAACUUGAAAAUAGAGGCAAGACAUGUAGUCAGUGGGUCAGUGCAUUGGAUUUGAACACAACUCCUCAAAAUUACUUUUCCAGUAGCUUUAAAGUCUUAAAAGUCACUCAAAAUACUUUUCAGUCUUCCUGCAGAGAAUUCCCAAAGAGCCCAAUAACAGCCUUUUCCAAGUACUGAUCCCUUCGUGAGUAAAAGUAGUAAUUGUGGGCAUACCAAAUGUCAUGAUAUGUUAAGUGACAAUGGGGACUUCACAGGAAUUUUCACCUCUUGGAUUUUUAUCUGCUGUCAUUUAUCUACUCUGCUAUAUUCCUGUGCUUCUCUGUACAAGAGACAGUGGAGUUAAAUAUCUGCAAUUAGAAAUAAAGCUGCUAAACACAAUUUAUUGCUCAUAAAAAGUUUCACCUUUUGGAUCUAGCUCACUCACUGUCUGCAGCAGUGGACACAAAGUGAAGAACACAAAUACCUAUGGUGUGCUGCCAGCUGUCAGCUCAGUUAUGUCCUUGGCCUGAUAGGAUUUGCCCAGGUUAUUAUUCCCAGUGGAUCACUCCUUCAAGUACUCAUCCAAUCUCCCAUCAAGUUCAUAUAAAUUGUUGCCUUUAUAAAUUUUGAAAAGAAAUGUAACAAGUUUGCCAGCUUUUUGGUAUGUCAUUCUAAACCAAAUCUGAGAGCCUAGAACAGCCAUACAGUGAGACAGAUCAAAGAUCCACCUCACUAGUACCCUUGUCAGCUAAAUCAGCCCACAGAGAAUGCCUGGAAAAACCAGCAGAACAGACAGGAUUAGCAUGCAAAGGUAUUUCCUCAUUCCUCGGCAAUCUUUAUCUCGGGAGUUCCUGAGACUCCUAAUGGUUGCAUUUCACCUGCCCUUCUACUAUCCAGUCAUGUUACAUCUCACAACAGGCUUUCUUUUUUCGAAACCCAAAAAUACAGUACCAUCAUCUAACUUCCGUGCCUCACUUUACAUCUUUGAUUUUAAAGCGUUUUUUUCUCAACAAAUAAUUUAGAAAUAUGUUUCAUACUUCAAAUUUCCAUGAAAAUGCACUAAUAGUCACCCUUCAUUUUAGAAACAGACCAUUUUCUCCUAACCUGUAUCAACAACUUAUUCCUUGGCAGUUUAGUUUCUUUUAAGAGCCACAGUCCACUGUAGUCUAUUAUGCAAACAGAUCUUUUUUUAAUGCAAGUGCAUCAACUGCAAGUACAACGACAUCACUAUUAAAACAUUUUGAAGCAGAUUACCAUGCACAAUGGUGAUCAAAAAUCAAGUCAAGGCCAAGAAGCCUAAAAUUCAUGGCACAAAGAUUUUAGUCUCAUGACUCUGAUCAACAUGACAUUUACCUACAGCACUUAAAAGUACACAGACAAUCUUCUCUCUUUUGUUUUCUUUUACAGUGCCUGAUUUUCCUUAUCAGGAAAUGUUUGCCACCAUCUAGAUACUACAGUCCUAGCAAGAUACAUUUCUUAUUUGGAAUUCAUUUUAACUCUGAUUUUUCUCAACAUCCUUUAGUAGUGCAAAGGGCUAUUUUCACCUUCUCUAGAUAAUUUAUGUUUAUUCUCCUUCCCUCCCCUGUCUCAUAUGCACAGCAUCACACUAGCCCCAUUUAUACUAGCUUUUCUUAGUCUCUUUUUCUGGGUUUGGGGGUUUUGAUGUUUAUAGAGCAGUACAUUUUUAGUAAUUAAGGAGAUACAGACAGAUAACAGGAGUCAGUGCAUUCUUCUGUUGAUUGUACAACCAGACUUAUUUAUGCGGCUAUUCCACUCCAUCCUGCCUCACUUCUGGCACUACUGUCCUUCUACUCAGAGACACAGAAUGCAUUUAAGAUUUCAUUCACACAAGAUGAACUAACACUGAAAAAGCAACAUUCUUACACCUUGUAGUAAUAUCACAGUACAAAAAACCAAUACAUAUAAUAUUGGCCCUCAGGCUUCAGCAAUAUGAUUCUUACUUUUCAUACUGUGUCAGAAACAUUUUCUGCAGGUCAGUGGGUAUAACUACACAAGCACUAAACUACCAGGAAUCCCAAACUGCUGCCAAGUUACACUUCAAUAAAAGCUUACUGAAUCAAGACUCUGAUGCUUCUGAUGUAGAUUGAUGAAUAACUGAUUUUUAUUUCCUGCACUGCAAACCACUCUGGCAGUUCCUGAGGUGUGUAAAAAUUGCUUUUAACAGCACUUCACUAACAAGCAAAAGGUGUUCAUGUAGAUGGAAACCAAAACAAAAUUCAAUAAAAAUCUUUCACUUCAAUAAAAAGUAAGCCAUGGGAACAUUGAUCAUAAUCAGUGAAUAAAUAUGAAAUAGAAAUAACUUUAUGGUUUUACAUAAUUGUAUGCAAAAAAAAUUCCAAGGGUCAUUUAUAUCAGUUUGUUUAAAAUACAUUUUAAACAAAUACUCUCCUAUGAAGAAAAGCUGUUCAGCCUAGAAAAGAGAAAGUUCCAGAGGUACCUUUAAGCAGCAUUCCUGUACAUAAAGGGGGCUGCAAGAGAGAAGAGGGACUUUUUACAAGAGCAUGAAGUGAUAAGACAAGGGGGGAUGGCUUUAAACUGAAAUAGGGAAAGUUUAGAUUAGAUAUUAGGAAGAAACUCUUUAUUGUGAGGGUGGUUAGGCACUGGAACAGGUUGCCCAGAGACGUUGUAGGUGCACAGUCCCUGGGAGUAUUCAAGGCCAGCCUGGAUGGGGCUCUGAGCAAGUCAGUCUAGUGCAAUGUGUCCCUGCCCAUGGCAAGGGGACUGGAACCAGGUGAUCUUUAAGGUCCCUUCCAACCCAAGCCAUUCUCUGAUUCUAUGAAAUACAGACAGGUCAGCUGGGAUUAUAUAAGAGUUUGGCCCCAAAUAAUAAUUAUUCCUGGUGAAUUUUGAAGUCAAGGUCUUUUAGCUGCUUUCAACCCAACAGGAGUAAUUUUCAUCAUGUUAUCUCAAAUAACUGAUGUCAGAUUAUCUGAGGUCCUGUAAAAGAUCCCAAACUUUGACAUUUCACAAAUUAGCAAGUCAGCUCUAUAAACAGACAUCCCAUCCUGAUCCAGCUGGAUAACAAGUAAUUUAAUUUACUCCCUAUCUGUUACCACCUGCUUCAGGAGAUUGUCACCUGCCAAGUUUUACUGAAAGGGAUCCCUGUUUCAGAACUCUGUGAAGGACACUGCAGCAGUUCUCAGCUUUGCCACGCCACUCUCCUCCUGACCUGUCACCAAUAGACAUGAAGAUGCAUCCCUUUCACAUGUGGAUACAGCACCAAGUUUCUUCAGGGCGUUCCCAAGGAAGACAAGAUAAAAUGUGUCUCCUCAAGGGCUUCUGCCAGAGCACCAUAGAAUUAGGCCCUGGAGGGAAGAGGGAGCCCAGGAAACAUGUGUUGGAUGUCAGGCAAAAAUGCCAGGAGACCUCUGUGGGUGAAGAAGGAGCACCUCCAAACUCAAACACAAAAAGGAAGCACGGAGAAGGUGGCAUCAAGGACAGGUAACCUGUGAGGAAAACAGACACAUUGUUCAUAUAUGCAGGGAUGAGGUCCUGAAAGUUAAAGCCCAGUUGGAACUGAAGCUGGUGAUGGAUGUCAAAGACAACAAGAAAUGCUUCUGUAGGGGACAAACAAAAGACUGGGAAAAAUGUGAGCCCACUGCUCCCCCCCUCCACUUCCUACUAUAAAAUCUCACUCCAUUGUUUUAGACAAGACCCAGUAAAUAGAAGCAGUUCUGUACCUCUUACUGUACCUACCCUUCUUUUCUUUGUGUAAUAUAAUUCCUUACAUAAUGUUUAAGGAGUUCUAGAAAAGACAAAAGCACAUGUGCUAAGGAAAAAAACAGGUGGGGGUUUUGUGGGGAGUUUUUUUUGGGGUUUUUUUUUUUAUUUGGUUUUUUUUUUGUUUUGGUUUGGGUUUUUUUGGGUUUUUUGUUUUUUGUUUUGAUUUUGUUUUUGUCAAAACCUGUGAGCUGGUUUGGCUUGCAAAUUCCUAACUGAAGAGGCUCAGCAAGGGAGCUGCAGAGAAAUGGAAAUCAUCUUCUGUAAAAUACUAUCAGCAAAUUACCUUUGUCCUGGGGCUGAUUUACCUUUUGCAACCCCAGCUACAGCCAGAAACACACACUAGUCUCUUACAAGCUUUCUCCUGCAUCUCUCUACACCUUACCAUGCUGUAUUAUGGCAUUUAGAUGUUUCACAUGGUAGAAUUUUACUGAGAGUGUCUUCUGACAUCCACAGGCUAUCACCUUUUGUCACAUCAUUGCUUUUAGCUACAUUUCCAACUGAAAAUAAGCCUAGGAACUACAACGCCCUUCUCCCAAGGCUGUCAAUUCAGCAAAUAUCACAGAUAAAAAGAUUAAAUGUAAGUUGUGUGUGUAUAUUUGCACACAUAUGAUCUAUUAUAAUUUUUGAAUGCUAAAUCCUGUUUUUUCACCACAUAAUACAAAAGGCUUUCAACCAGAGACACUCACAAUCUAAACAGACAGAAAAGAACACAAGAGCUUAAACAAAGACUCUUAUCUUACUCUCUGCUUUUACAAAACAUUUAACCUUUUACUUAGAUAUACUAGUGCCAGGACCUCACAAAGAAAGUAAUGUGUUCAGGAGGGAAUGGAGAAAGGGCACCUCCCUUCUGCAAAAGGAUUGAGAAGGAAUUCCAAACAUUAAGAUAAAAAUCAAAAUAAAAUGGAAAAAUGAGACAAAGUUGUAAGCCAGAAUUCUUUCAUUAUGUAUUUCAGUGAACUUUUGCUGAUUUCCUGUAAUAUACCUUAACUGCAACAAUGUUUAUUUGCUAAAUAGAUAGUCCCAGCCUUUAAUCUAUGAACUUCAACAGUGAAAUUUGCAAACUAUGUGGCCCAAAAUAAAAUACACAUUAACGUGCUUAAAUUGGAGGUGAGCCCACAGAAACCAGUGCAUCCAUAUUACGUACAUAGAUCUCAAACACAAGCAUUUAUUUUAAAUUGACUAUUUAGUUCUCACUGACUCAGAAUUACAUAAGAGCCACCAAGGAACGGGCCUCUGGCAGCAUGGACACAGAAAUCUGUUCAAGCACUGACAGGACUGUUAGCUGAGGCCUCAGAAACCCAAAAUCUGGGUCCUCAAGAUGUGUAUUUCCAUAUUUAUCUCAUCAAGCAGUUCAAUCUCACUGGCAGGCUCCAAGGACAGUCUCUUUUAAGAGAUAAGUUGACAAACUACUCCUGCCAGGAUAGGAAAGACCAAGGUAAAUCACUAAUGCCCACGGCAAAUUUAGCCUGACAGGGCGGUAAUCUCUUCUAAAAUACCUUUGGCACUAAUGCACCAAAAAUUUCCCAUCAUCCAACUGCGUGCCCUGAAUCACCAUAACUGGGAGCCUGAGAUGAUCCCAGAUUCUACGGGACACUUAGGCUGAUUUAAAGGCAAAUAAAUGUACUUGCUCCUUCACAGCAGUUCAGCCAUGAUUUACACAGGCUGAUCUGGCACACAUUUAAAUUCCUGCUAGGGCUUUCUGUAGUUUUUAACCAUAUCACUUCACCUCCCCCCAGUUAUAAAAAGAGAAUUAUGGUAUUUGUGUAACAUUACAGAGGCACUGUCAGUUAUGACAAUUAAUUAAAUAAAAUAAAUAUUCACAAUAAAGAGUUGAUUCUGCUUUAUUAAGGUAGAGCUUUUUUUUUUAAACAACAAAAAUUUUAUUUAAAGCAAGGAAGACCUGGUGCAAAAACUAAAGCUAAAUACAGACAAUGAUAUGAAAAGUUAUUUUAAAAUAUCUGAUAAUUAACACUUGUAUAAAACCAAGCAUGUGUUCCACAGCUUUUAUUCCCUGCAGUCAAAAUUCAAGCCUUUACAAUUUGCCUGCUGAAAAGGUAACACGACCCAGCAUAUUUUUCUGUAUUUAGAAGAAAUACAAAUUUAUGGGCUGUUUUUACCACAGCAGCAUGCAACAUUCCAAAAGAAGCUCUAAGAAAAAGUAAUUAAAAAUGUGAAGUUUAACAGAAAAUGAGACAAAGCCUAAAGCCAAAGAAAAAUCCUGCUAAACUUAUUCAAUAUUAUUGAGAUCUGUAGUUUUUCUAUGAAAAGGAAAAAUGUAUUAGAUCACACCUAUCUGGACAAGUGAAACACUUGAUAUGGUGCAAUACUGACAUUUAUGUCUAUCUUAUGGAAGUUAAGGAGAGGCUGGAAGAAAAUUUCAGCAAUUUCCCUUGCAAGCAGUUUUAAAUUAACCUUUUAAUUGGUGACUUCAACAUAAUGAGUAGAUAGACACUUUUGAUACAAAAUAAGAAAUAUAGCAUAUGGAAAGAAAAUGCAAAAAUUACAAAAAUGGUGUCAAACUUAUAAUUAUAGAGUGCAACAUUGUACCAAAAUGUGGAAUAUGCAACAUUUUCUCAAGAAAGGAUGUUCUUUAAUGUUUGAUUUUUGUAUACUUUCAAGCUUUACCAACAAGAUGGGAGAUUUAAUCUGUGAAACAGACAGCAGCCCACAAGCUCUAAGUGAUGUGCAGGUGCUAGAAAGACAAAUUACUGGUUGGUAGAAUUGUCUAGCUAAGCUUUAGGGCCUGGCAGGUUUCAGUGAUCUCACACCCAGAGGGAAGUUAAUAAAGCUGGGGAGAAGGAUGUACCACUGACAGCAGACACAAGGAAUGCAGAAUUCAUGGGCCACAAGGACAUUGGGCAGAAUCCCCGAGAUAAGGAAGAAACUAAUAAACCUUACCCCAGCAACUGUGCUGAACCAGCUCUGAGUGGGUAAAAGGUAAUUCUGCAGAGGGAGAUUCCAACCACCCACUCGCAGAUCAUUGACCCAAAAACCCAUCGGCCCAAAGGAAGAGAAACACCACGGGACUGACUAGCAUGAGAUGAGAGAAUCAUUACCUAAUAGAAGAUUGAAAACUAAUUAAUACAAGGAUUAUGUAACAUGUAGUUAAUGAACACUAAUUCCUUUGUUUGCUGACAUGUAUAAAUAGCAAAAGGUUUUGAUAGUUGUUGUGCUUGGUUUGUGGAAUUCCACUGGGCACCCAGGCUUGCAGAACUCUGAAAUAAAAUCAUCAAUGUCUCUCUCACAUGUGAUGUAAUUAGUGAUGCACACUGGGAAACAAAUCCGAUUUUUGUGGACAACAUCCUGCACUUACAAACUAAGAUACCUCAGAAAUUCUGGUCAGAUAGAUGUAUUUGAUGGGGUAUAUUUGAACCUGCCAAGAUAACCAGAAAGCAUCAUGCAAAGGACACGAAUGGUAGAAACUAACUGCAUAUUUUAUUAUUUAAUAAAAGCUUUCUAAACCAA